AGAACGAACGCUGGCGGCAGGCUUAACACAUGCAAGUCGAACGCUCGUAGCAAUACGGGAGUGGCAGACGGGUGAGUAACGCGUGGGAACAUACCCUCCGGUUCGGAAUAGCUCAGGGAAACUUGGAUUAAAUACCGGAUACGGCUGAGAGGCGAAAGAUUUAUCGCCGGAGGAUUGGCCCGCGUUCGAUUAGCUUGUUGGUGAGGUAACGGCUCACCAAGGCGAUGAUCGAUAGCUGGUCUGAGAGGAUGAUCAGCCACAUUGGGACUGAGACACGGCCCAAACUCCUACGGGAGGCAGCAGUGGGGAAUAUUGGACAAUGGGCGCAAGCCUGAUCCAGCCAUGCCGCGUGAGUGAUGACGGCCUUAGGGUUGUAAAGCUCUUUCGCUCGGGACGAUAAUGACGGUACCGAGAUAAGAAGCCCCGGCUAACUUCGUGCCAGCAGCCGC
This 449-nucleotide ribosomal RNA is filed under the name uncultured bacterium. Its description in RNAcentral is "SSU rRNA". It matches the Rfam family "Bacterial small subunit ribosomal RNA", at positions 26 to 518 of the family's 1533-position model. The record is from RNAcentral.